UGGUGUGAAGUCAAGUUGGGUAUACGCUUGGUUUUUAAUCAAGAGAACGCCGGUUCGAGUCCGGUCACGCCAA
This 73-nucleotide transfer RNA is filed under the name Enterococcus casseliflavus. RNAcentral's name for it is "tRNA-Lys". It matches the Rfam family "tRNA". From Rfam's summary of the family: Transfer RNA (tRNA) molecules are approximately 80 nucleotides in length. Their secondary structure includes four short double-helical elements and three loops (D, anti-codon, and T loops). RNAcentral also lists the same sequence under 1 other name. The record is from RNAcentral. Lineage: Bacteria; Bacillati; Bacillota; Bacilli; Lactobacillales; Enterococcaceae.